RNAcentral lists this unclassified non-coding RNA (225 nucleotides) under Hevea brasiliensis (rubber tree). The record is from RNAcentral. Lineage: Eukaryota; Viridiplantae; Streptophyta; Magnoliopsida; Malpighiales; Euphorbiaceae.
CUUUUCUGUUGCAUUUCUUUGGUCUGCAAGGGUCUUUGCGGCUUCACCUGAAACAACCACCAAAACAGAGCAAAGUUCUUUUAAAUCCUGUGGUUGGAUAAUGUCUGCCAAGAGUGACCUGUAUGUGAAUUUUGAAGGGCCCAGAGUCGCAGUGCCAGCAGCACGAGCAACUGGAUUGGUGGACAAGGAAGUUGAAGGUGCAGAAGGCCUGAUAUGGACUCCCUG